RNAcentral lists this ribosomal RNA (128 nucleotides) under uncultured eukaryote. RNAcentral describes it as "partial small subunit ribosomal RNA". It matches the Rfam family "Eukaryotic small subunit ribosomal RNA", at positions 1651 to 1776 of the family's 1831-position model. The record is from RNAcentral.
CCCUGCCAUUUGUACACACCGCCCGUCGCUACUACCGAUUGAAUGGCUCAGUGAGGCCUUCGGACUGGCUCGAGGAGGUUGGCAACGACCACCUCAAGCCGGAAAGUUGGUCAAACUCGGUCAUUUAG